GAUCAUAACGCUUAAAGUGGAAAUGACAGGAAACAAUGGAUAUAUUUAGAGCCAUUAGAUGAGAUCUUUCGCGACAAACCUUGGGUAAAACCAUUAUCUGUAGCAGGAUCGCAUACACGAGAUCCUGAAAAAUCUUUAUUUGAUGAUAAUGAACAGGAGCCAUCAACUAAACAAAGGAAGAUCUCAUUAAAUGAAGAAAGAGCUAAUUAUUUACGGGCAUCACUCGAAGAAAAAAGAAUAAAAAGAGAAGAAACUGCUAA
Molecule: long non-coding RNA, 260 nt
Organism: Temnothorax curvispinosus
Lineage: Eukaryota; Metazoa; Arthropoda; Insecta; Hymenoptera; Formicidae
Exons: 3
Source: RefSeq, a predicted model, not a curated record